RNAcentral lists this ribosomal RNA (372 nucleotides) under Polaruschakov omnesae. Its description in RNAcentral is "partial 16S ribosomal RNA". The stretch from base 48 to 372 matches the Rfam family "Bacterial large subunit ribosomal RNA", at positions 2045 to 2605 of the family's 2925-position model. Lineage: Eukaryota; Metazoa; Annelida; Polychaeta; Phyllodocida; Polynoidae. The record is from RNAcentral.
AAGGAUCAACGAAAUUCACUCUUUAUUAAUUUUAUCCCUAAAACCUGAACUUCAGGUGAAGAUGCCUGAAUUAACUUGAAAGACAAGAAGACCCUGUAGAGUUUUAAUGGGCCCCUGUUCAUUACUAAACCAUUUUGAUUGGGGCGAUCAAGGAUUUCCCCCCACAUCCUAAUACCUUUUAGAAAAAUCUUUCUAAUCUCGCAAUCCUAUCCCCUAGAACUUAAAAUAAACUACCUCAGGGAUAACAGGCUUAUCUUCCUAAAGAGUCCAAAUUAACAGGAAGGUUUGGCACCUCGAUGUUGGCUUAGAGUAACCCAAUAAAGUAAAAAUUAUUCUGGUUAGUUUGUUCAACUAUUAAAUCUCUACGUGAUC